This 332-nucleotide long non-coding RNA is filed under the name Mytilus galloprovincialis (Mediterranean mussel). The record is from RNAcentral. Lineage: Eukaryota; Metazoa; Mollusca; Bivalvia; Mytilida; Mytilidae.
CAAUACGCACAUUAAAAUUCAGUUCAAGAGAAGUCCGAGUCUGAUGUCAGAAGAUGUAACCAAAGAAAAUAAACAAAAUGACAAUAAUAAAUAAAUAACAACAGACUACUAGCAGUUAACUGACAUGCCAGCUCCAGACUUCAAUUAAACUGACUGAAAGAUUAUGAUUUCAUCAUAUGAACAUCAGGCACAAUCCUUCCCGUUAGGGGUUUAGUAUCAUACCAUCAUAACAUAUGAGAAGAACAUAACCCGUGUCAUGCCAACAACUGGUUUUUGAAUAAAUGUGUUUAGUUCCGAUGCAAAGACCCUAUAAGUGAAUCAAUAUUAACGCC